Molecule: long non-coding RNA, 1609 nt
Filed under: Sus scrofa (pig)
Lineage: Eukaryota; Metazoa; Chordata; Mammalia; Artiodactyla; Suidae
Description: lncRNA (ENSSSCG00060071560.1)
Source: RNAcentral
UUUUUGGGGGGGUCUUUUCUAGGGCCGUACCUGCAGCACAUGGAGGUUCCCAGGCGAGGGGUCCAAUCAGAGCUGUAGCUGCCGGCCUACGCCAGAGCCAGCGGCUACAGCCCUGAUUAGACCCCUAGCCUGGGAACCAGGUGCAGCCCUAAAAAAAGACAAAAGACCAAAAAAAAAAAAAGAAAAGAAAAUCACACCAAAAAAAUCCCAUUAGGUUUGGCAUGCAAACAGUAUUAUUUCUCAGUAUAAACAUACUCUAUACUUAGGAGAAAAAGUGCUCUUCAAUAAUGACAAGGAAAAGGCACUAAAAAGACAGAUCAGUGCAUCUGCAGAUGACCUCUCCCAAAUUUGUAGUGUGGGAGAGGGCUAGGCUGAAAGCCCAGGUCCUCCAAACUCAAGGCCCACCUCAAAAUAGGCUGGGCCUGAUGAUGCCUUUGUCCUGGGACUAAGUGAAAGCAUGCUGUUAGGUCUGAGAAGUAAUCUGAGGAAGAACUAGAGCUCUGAAGCUCAUUUCUGGGAAAGAAAGAAAGAGCAGUUCAUUUCUGAUUCAUACCCCCAUAUAAGCAAUUUAAGGAUGAUUAAGUCCAGAUAUUAAGUAUAAGUUAGAUGUGGUGUUCCUGUUGUGGCUCAGCAGUAAUGAACCUAACUAGUAUACAUGAGGACACAGGUUCCAUCCCUGGCCCUGCUCAGUGGGUUAAGAAUCCUACGUUGCUACGACUGUGGCACAGGCUGGCAGCUGCAGCUCUGAUUAGAUCCCUAACCUGGGAACGUCCAUAUACCAUGGAUGUAGGCCUUAAAAAAAAAAAAGUUGGAUGUCAACUGCAAAGGUUGAUUUUAUAUGUUAACUUAGAAGGUGUUUCUGGACGAGAUCAACAUUUAAAUCAGUGAACUAUGUAUGAGUAAACUAGACUGCCAUCCACAACGUGUGUGGGCCUCAUCCAAGUAACUGAAGUCCUGAGUAGAACAAAAAGACCAGCCUCCCCAAGCAAGAGGGAAUUCUCCAGCAGAUUGCUUUCAAACUGGAACUGCACCGUCGGCUCUCUGGUGGCUCCACUUUGCCAGCCUUCACUGAAAUGGCACCACAGGCACUCCCACGUCUGUGCUUAUCAAGCCUGCCAGCCUCUAUUGCUAACAUUGGACCUGACAGCCUCCACAACUGCAUGAGCCAAUUCCUUGUAAUAAAUCUGUCUAUAUACACAUCUUAUCCAUUCUGUUUCUCUGAAGAACCCUCAAACAUUAGAGGUUCUAAUGGAGGUUUAAAGGAGGUCACAUCCACUUACGGAAUUUCAGAAAAAUUCACAGAACCCAUUUAUUCUUUCACUUAAACAUGUCACAAAUAUUUACCAAGCAUCAGUUAGGAGCUGGGACUACUGUGAGUACUGAUGUGGAUACGGUCCCUUUAAAGAGCUGACAUUUUAAUGUAGGAAACACACAAUAAGUACAUAGAUGUAAGGAGGUGAUAAGGGAUACAAGCAAAACCAAGUAGGGUAAGGGCAAGUUCAGAGUGAGGCAGAGAAGGAGAGAGUGACCAGAGCUCUACUUCAGACAGGGAAGGGCUCUCAUAAGGGAAGAUGCUAUGUGAGAAAAUGUGUGAACGAAGGGAGUAAGC